UACGUAUAGUUAUCCGGUCCCCUCGUAGUUUUGGCCCCCGCACUUUACAAGGUACGACACACAGUAUAAUAAUAACGUUAUAUUAUGUAUACACAGCGCAGCAGAAAUCGCCGUCUCCGGCGAAAUUUCGGUGUCGGCGUCACGGGUACAUAAACACGACGACAAUAUUACUAUGUCAACGUAAUCGUGUGUGUACAGAGUAUUACACCCGCGGCAAACUGCGUCAGAGGCCCACGCGACAACAGCUGCUGGAGGGUAUAAACCCCCCUCACCCCUCU
Molecule: non-coding RNA, 278 nt
Organism: Cinara cedri
Lineage: Eukaryota; Metazoa; Arthropoda; Insecta; Hemiptera; Aphididae
Source: the annotation of a GenBank genome assembly